CGCACAUUGCGCCCUUUGGUAUUCCGAAGGGCAUGCCCGUUCGAGCGUCAUUUCAACCCUCAAGCUCUGCUUGGUCUUGGACGCCGCGUCCCUCGCGCGUCCCGAAGUCCCUGGCCCUACGGCCUGCCCCUGAGCGUUGUGGCACUGAUGUUUCCGCUCCAGGUGUGCAGGGGGUAGUCGGCCGACUGAACACCCUUCUGACAGGUUGACCUCGGAUCGGGUAGGGAUACCCGCUGAACUUAA
This 243-nucleotide unclassified non-coding RNA is filed under the name Scytalidium sp. Its description in RNAcentral is "partial contains 5.8S ribosomal RNA, internal transcribed spacer 2, and large subunit ribosomal RNA". Lineage: Eukaryota; Fungi; Ascomycota; Leotiomycetes. The record is from RNAcentral.